Molecule: ribosomal RNA, 696 nt
Filed under: uncultured bacterium
Lineage: Bacteria
Description: bacterial SSU rRNA
Rfam family: Bacterial small subunit ribosomal RNA
Source: RNAcentral
AACGCUAGCUACAGGCUUAACACAUGCAAGUCGAGGGGAAACGACAUUGAAAGCUUGCUUUUGAUGGGCGUCGACCGGCGCACGGGUGAGUAACGCGUAUCCAACCUGCCCACCACUUGGGGAUAACCUUGCGAAAGUAAGACUAAUACCCAAUGACGUCUCUAGAAGACAUCUGAAGGAGAUUAAAGAUUUAUCGGUGAUGGAUGGGGAUGCGUCUGAUUAGCUUGUUGGCGGGGUAACGGCCCACCAAGGCGACGAUCAGUAGGGGUUCUGAGAGGAAGGUCCCCCACAUUGAAACUGAGACACGGUCCAAACUCCUACGGGAGGCAGCAGUGAGGAAUAUUGGUCAAUGGGCGAGAGCCUGAACCAGCCAAGUAGCGUGCAGGAUGACGGCCCUAUGGGUUGUAAACUGCUUUUAUAAGGGAAUAAAGUGAGUCUCGUGAGACUUUUUGCAUGUACCUUAUGAAUAAGGACCGACUAAUUCCGUGCCAGCAGCCGCGGUAAUACGGAAGGUUCGGGCGUUAUCCGGAUUUAUUGGGUUUAAAGGGAGCGUAGGCCGGAGAUUAAGCGUGUUGUGAAAUGUAGACGCUCAACGUCUGCACUGCAGCGCGAACUGGUUUCCUUGAGUACGCACAAAGUGGGCGGAAUUCGUGGUGUAGCGGUGAAAUGCUUAGAUAUCACGAAGAACUCCGAUUG